Molecule: transfer RNA, 23 nt
Filed under: Hypsiglena unaocularus (Islas Revillagigedo nightsnake)
Lineage: Eukaryota; Metazoa; Chordata; Lepidosauria; Squamata; Dipsadidae
Description: partial tRNA-Ser
Source: RNAcentral
GAGGGCGCCAUAAGACCUGCUAA